GUUGUGGCUCAGUGGUAGAGUACUUGCCUGACAUGUAUGAGGUCCUGCGUUUGAUUCUCAGCAUGGCA
This 68-nucleotide transfer RNA is filed under the name Marmota monax (woodchuck). Its description in RNAcentral is "tRNA.Val". The stretch from base 3 to 63 matches the Rfam family "tRNA", at positions 6 to 65 of the family's 71-position model. From Rfam's summary of the family: Transfer RNA (tRNA) molecules are approximately 80 nucleotides in length. Their secondary structure includes four short double-helical elements and three loops (D, anti-codon, and T loops). The record is from RNAcentral. Lineage: Eukaryota; Metazoa; Chordata; Mammalia; Rodentia; Sciuridae.